AAACCAUUGGAUUCGUGCCAAGUGGUAAAAUUCGGUGAAGAGAGAGGAGAAAAAGAUUCUUGGUUAGGGAAAUGAGGUCUGUUGCACAAACAAUGCGCGCACAGUGUGCGACACCAGUCCGUCCGCGAAAUGACACGUGGACGGCCCGCCAGUGUGCGACAGGGCGCGCGCGCAAGUCCUAACCUGUGUCGUGUGCGCGGAUGAGACUCGCGUGCUGUGCGCACGUCUUGUUCAUGUUGGUGUGCGGAUGGGUCGUGCGCACUGUGCGCACGCCCCGCGGCCACUGUGCGCGCAUGCACACAUGCACAGUGCCUAGCACCCACGCGAGCAAACUGCUUCCUCGUGGGAUUUUUUUUCC
This 358-nucleotide long non-coding RNA is filed under the name Carica papaya (papaya). RNAcentral's name for it is "long non-coding RNA (CPAP_LNC010943)". Lineage: Eukaryota; Viridiplantae; Streptophyta; Magnoliopsida; Brassicales; Caricaceae. The record is from RNAcentral.